This is a long non-coding RNA of Hypomesus transpacificus, 6142 nucleotides long. RefSeq lists it as uncharacterized. The transcript is spliced from 2 exons. The record is from RefSeq and is a predicted model, not a curated record. Lineage: Eukaryota; Metazoa; Chordata; Actinopteri; Osmeriformes; Osmeridae.
CUGAACUUAGUCACUCCGUUUAUGAAGAGACGGACAAAACACUUUCUUCAUCAAUUGGCGUUGUCGAGCAGCAGGAUUGCAGAACCAGAUCCAGGAGAGACCCACGGCGGCACCAGUAUAAAGCAGAACCCGUGGUGCACAAAACAAAAUGGUAAGGGGAUCCUUUUCCAAAACCCCAUUCAUGGACUGCUUUAUGCUUGGUGCCCCUGCUGUCCCUCUGCGAUGCUGGUAACGUAAACAAUUUAAGAACCUUUUAUUGUGAUGUUCAGUUGGGAGCCUGGUCUUAGCAGACCAGAGUCUGCUAGGCCUCAACAGGAGGAAGAUAAUAGUAGGUUUAGUUUAGGUAGAGUUUUGGUUUGGUAAAUUUGGGUAAUUAAUUGACUUGCUAUUUUUACUUUGUCUAGGUCAGAGUUGGCAAACUCUGAUAGCGUACAAGAACCCUGGUCGCGUGAAGUAUUGAAAAAGUAUGUAAUAUAAUCUGUAUUCUUGAUCUGUGGCAAAGGAUCUGUUAACAGAGAAUACGGACCAUACUCUUGAUCUGAGGUAAAGGAUCUGUUAACAGAGAGUAUGGUUUUACAGAUACAGACCAGGGGUGAACCAAACAAGGAAAGGUAUGUGUUAUUUUUUAAAUGCAUGUUUACAGCUGAAAACUUUAGUUGAACAGAGAUCUUAUGUUGGUUUGAAUUGUAUUAAGUUUAACUGAAUUGUAUUACGUUUUGUGUUGGGCUUUUCUCUUUUGAACAGAGAUCUUAUUGGGACUUUAAUUUUGUUUGAAUUGUAACUGUAUUAAGUUUUGUUUUGGGCUAUUUCUUAAAGACCAAGCACAGUAGGAGGAUAGAGGAUAGUUUGGCUUGAAAAAGGCCAUAUUUGUAGUUCACUACCAUAUGAUAUUGUAGUUCUUUUAUUCUUCAAUAUUGUGACCGUAGACUGUUUUACAGUGCUAUUAGAUUGUGAGACUGUUCUACAGUGCUAUGUGAUUUUGUGACGAAAUUCUAAAGUGCUGUGUGAUUCUUGCCGCAGUAAAUCAUAAGAGUUGGCUACAUAGCCUACAGUUAUGAGAUUUGUUACAGAUACUUUGUAUUCAGAUACAUUUGUUUUCAGUAUGGGUAAUCUAGCUUCCAGUACGGGAGCGAUAGAGACGUUGUUAGUCCAGCCCGAUAUAUGUUUGAUUUACAUGGAAUUCAAGCAGUGUCAAGUAUUGAGAGAUGGCAUGCGUGGAUUAAUCAUGACCCGAGACAUUGUUUUCCGCUGGAGGGAACGUUUGAUGUAAAAAUAUUGGAGUUUAAAAGGUCAUUUUGAAAGACGAGGAGACAAGUCGGACGUGUAAACAAUAUUGCAGCUGGCAAAUGUUGACAUGGUUAACUGAAUCUAAGAGACGAUGUGGCAUUUUCUUGAGAAAGUACGGUCAGAUCAAGCUAAAACUGAUUCUGAUAGAAUGCUAGUCUACUCAGACAGAGACGAGAUGAACAGAAAAGUCAUUGUUAAAAGGUGAUCAGACUGUCAUAGAGUGAGGGAACUCAAGAUAUUGCUUGAACAUGUUAACAUGAAGUUGCUUGAGCAGACUAAUAGAGCAAAAACUAAUUGUGAGAAGUCAGUAGUUGUGAAACAGGCUGAAAGUAGCGUUAAUUCUCAAGGGAAACAAAAGAGUCUACCUAAGACUAGCCUAUUUACCGACGAUAAAGAUGAUGUUGUUGCUAUAGCUGUGGCUAUGCAGAGGAGAGCCAGAGACAGGGAAAAUGCAUUGUUAGGAGAAGCAGCGGGUCAAGUGCAGCCAGCACAGAACUUACAAGAGAAUGUUGAGGUUCAUAUCACAACAAAUAUGAUUGGUGAGGUUAUUCAGGAAUGCCUGUAACUAUCAGUUGAACCCCCAGGUAUCAAUGAACCCUAUGUGUGCAUAUCCAGGCCCUGAUGUAUGACAGCCUCUGUACCUUUAUCGCCCAUGGUCAGUGACUGAGCUGAGGGAGCUAGGAAAGGGAUUUCCUGACGUGAGAAAACUUAAAGCAUACAUUUCUGAUGGUGUUUAAUGGCAGUAAUACUGGAGGGGUGUUGCUUGACUGGAGCAAAGUGUAUGAUCGCAAACAGAGAAAAGGAGGAUCCUAAAGAUUAUAUGGAAAGACUUACUAGGAUGUUUUUGGAAAAAAAACAUUCUGAUUUUACAGCAGCUGCAUCCUCAUGCCAUUUUGUCAUGUGUUCAUAUGUGGAUUGCUUCCUGAACUCCAGAUAGAAAAGAAGAAACAGGUUCUACAUUGGGAGAACAAACCUGUGGAUAUGAUUAUGGAUUAUGCCAAGCAUAAUUGUACACUGAUGCUGGAGAAUGCAGGAAAGAAAGUUGAGAAAUGAACAACAUUGCAAAUGAAUGUCUUACGGAAAGAAAAUAAUAUGUUUAAAGGAAAAGGAGAACCAGGGGCAGACAACAAGGGGAGUAAGAGAUAGACAGGGAUUUGUGCAUACUCUGUAAACAGAUACGCCACAGGGAAAGUGAUUGUCCAGGCACAGUAUAGUACAGUCAGGAUCCUUCAGUCACGUACUCCAUACUACUGUACUCAACCCCUUCCGUUUUCUUCAGAACGAAGAGCUUGCUGAGGCCUGCUCAAGGACACUCAGACAGUAAACAACCACAAUCAUAAUAAUAAUCAAGAAUAGGGGAGGCAGAGAGCUUCUCUUUUUCAAGUAAGAUACAGAGCUACUAGGUCAGCCAGUUCAACUGUAGACAGUACCCGAAAUCAAUGAGAUGGUAGUGGUAGUUUCUGGGGUUCAGGUGGACACAACUGUCAGUUAGCUCUUAUGGGUGGAUAGAUGGAUCUUUGAAUGAUUAUGUAUUUCUUACAACUAUGGGGUGUCAAAUAAAUCUGUUGGAAAGGAAUUUGUUGUGCAAACCGAACCAAAAUGAUAUGCACUACUGAUUUUCUUGUCUAUUCCUUAGGAUAAAGAACACUUGGCCUAGAAAUCCCACACACAUCCCCCAGCAGUGGAAUGCAGAGAUUUUAGCCACAACAUAUGUGGCCUUGCUAGAAGCUGGGCCUGAGCUCCUGUGGUCCACACAAGCUAAUCACAUUGGGCGCAUUAAGAAUGCUACCCCAGUUGUUAUCAUUGUUUGUAGUAAUACUCUUGAGAACCGUACCUCAGUAUGCUAGUAAUAGAGAAGUAGGGAAAGGUAUUGUCCCAGUUAUUGAUGCGUUGUUGAAACAAGGAGUCAUAGGUAGACUUAAGGUCAAUUUGAUCCUUUAAGGCUAAUGAAAUACUUAGAAGUUUAUCAUGGGUUUAUUAGCUGGUAAUGCCUGUGUUAUACAUCCUGUUGUGCCUAACUCUGUUACGAUACUUAGCAAAUAACCCUGUUACUUUCUAGCUCUGUGAAUGACUAUUGUUUUCUUUUCUCUGUUCCCAUUGCAGAAGAGAGCCAGUAUCUGUUUGCAUUCACGUUUCGCCAGGUCUACUAUACAUUUCAGUUCUAUCGCAGGAGUACACUGAAUCACCUAUGUUGUUUAGUCAGGCAUUAUGAGAGGAGCUCCAGGAUGUCACCUUAGCAGCCGGCUCUACUCUGGUGCAGUAUAUUGAUUACCUUUUUGAUAUGUUCUAAGAAUCUUGCCUCCUGCCAACAGGACACUAUUGCUGUGCUACAGGCACUGGCUGAGAAGGGCCACAAGGCCUCAAAGGCAAAACUGCAGUUAUGGUCUUAGGAGGUCAAGUAUCUGGGCCAUACACUCAAAAGGUACAGAGCGUCUAUUGACGCCUGACAGAGUGGAGGCCAUCCGAUGGAUACCUAAGUGUAGAACACCAAAACAACUCAAGACUUUUUCUAGGUUCAGCCGGGUAUUGUCGUUAGUAGAUCCUUGAUUAUGCUGUGUUGGCUAAACCUCUCCUUGAUUUAAGGAAGGAAACUGAUACUCAUUUGUUGUGGAAAACUGUUGCUGAUAAAUGAUUUGUAUCUCUCAAGCAGGCCUUGGCCCAAGCGCCAGCUCUCGGUCUGCCAGACUACACCAGGGUGUACUGACCCAGCAGCAUGGUAAUCUUAAGAGGCCUAUCGCCUAUGUGAGUUCUUCUUUAGAUACUGUGGCAGCAGGUCCCCCCCCCGUGCUUACGAGCAGUCUGUGCUGCGGCAACAUGUGUGGAAGCAACUUCAGAGAUAGUGCUGGGGUCGCCCUUGGCAGUGAUGGUUCCUCAUGCAAUGGAUCUUCGUCCCGAGCAUGGGAUGGCGCUCUAAACUCCGGAUAAGCGGUCUGCACGGACAGUGAGACAUUCGAAUCUGGUAAACAGUCUCCACAAUGCACUGCACAGCAGUUAGAGUUUUGCUUUGACAAGGGCAUGUUGUUUGUCAGAAGGCAAGGUCGUAAAUAUUCACACUGACUCGAGGUAUGGAUUUAGAGUUACUCACAAUUUUGGUGCCAUAUGGCCAGAAAGAGGUUUCAUUAACUCCUCAGGUGGAGCAAUUAAGAAUGGAAAGAUGAUUUGAUAAUUUAAUACUACUACUGAGAAAGCUAGCUAUUGUUAAGUGUGAGGCUCAUACUAACAAUACAGAAAAAUGUUUCAAGAGGAAAUGCUAGAGCUGAUGUUGCAGCAAAGGCUGCGGCCCAUUGAUGUGUCCCAGGUCUCUAUUUGUUUUUUGUGUCUCAGCAACCGGAAACGCGCACUUCCUCUCUUCAUGUUGUGGUGGACCUUCAUGUCGCUGCUGAUAACACUGAGAGGGAUGGUUGGUUAUCUGUUGGCUGUGUGAAAGAUUCCAUGUGCAUUGUUCCCUUGGUUGGCUCGCAUGGCACACGGAUGUGCCCAUACGAUCAAGGGGGGUAUGGUCUAAAUAGUAAAUACAGAUUGUCUGAUUGACUGGUUUUUCCACAAAGGCUGAACAACAUUGUGCUCAGUGUCAUAUUUACCAGCAGCAUAAUCCCGAAAAGGGACCAAAGAGAAGAGACGCAGCCCACCCACCACCAAGUGGUCCUUUUAUUAAUUUACAAAUAGAUUUUAUGCAGAUGAACAAGUGUUGUAAUUUUGAAUGUGUAAUUGUAACUGUUGUCAUGUUCUCAAAAUGGGUAGAAGCCUACCCAUGUUGGAAAGUUGAUGCUACCACGGUAGCCAAGAUUUUAUUAUUAGAGAUGUGAUCUGUAGAAAUGGGAUCCUCACGAGACUGUCCAGUGAUAGAGGUUCACAUUUUAUGGGUCAAAAUUGUUCAGGAACUUUGUAAAGCGCUCCAGAUCAACCGGCAUUUCCACUGUCCCUACCACCCACAGUCUGCGGCCUGGGGCAGUGGAGAGGCAACAUGGAACUUGAGAAAACAAACUAGCCAAGAUAUGUGAACAGACAGGCCUGAAGUGGCCUGAUGCACUUCCACUAGCUCUUAUGGCCAUGAGGUCCACUCCCCAGAGGAGGAAUGGACUUUCCCCACACAAGAUAUAUUGUGGGGGGACCAAUGAGAUUGCCUGUAUCUCCCACCAUCAUUGAUACAGAUGGAUAUCCACCAGAUGGAUGAUACAAUGUUAAACUUUUGUUACGCCCUUCCUAGAGCAGCCAGGGUUGUGCAUUCACAGGUGAAAGCUGCCCUGCCUGGGGAGCCAUGUCAUCCCUAUCAACCGGGAGACUACGUGUACGUGAAAGUGCACAAACGGAGGACUGCCUCUCACCGAGAUGGAGCAGUCCAUAGCUGUUUAUCUUGGUGACUCACAGCUGUGAAAGUGGAGGGUUGUCCGACAUGGAGCCAUGCGACACACUGCGAAACAGCCCCUCCACCGAACAACACGGUGGAGGGUUUCAACGGAGAGCCAGGGACCGGUGGAGGAGCAGGUGCACCUCCAAAUGGUGCCUGCUCCAACUUCAUUUGUCUCAUCCCCACUGGGUUACUCUUCCAGGAGUACACCAAGGGGGGUGGAGACCCGUUUGCAGCAGCUGAUCCUGGAGCAGGUUCCAGUCCAGCGGACUGAUUUGAGCCAGAACCAGGACCCCGCCAUCCAGCACUCCAAUCCAGGGGUGCCGAGAAGGAGGUCCCAAAGAGCACCCACCCGGAGGUGUUGAAGACGUCGAAAGGUGAGUCACAUGUGGAGAAAGCCAGAGAGGGGCUGCUGUUGCUACCAUGCCUCUCUCCCCCAUGUGUGAUUCAUGAAGCAGAUGACAGCACCCAGACGGGAAACCAGAGAGAUGAGCCUGGAGAGGGGAA